Molecule: transfer RNA, 71 nt
Filed under: Loxodonta africana (African savanna elephant)
Lineage: Eukaryota; Metazoa; Chordata; Mammalia; Proboscidea; Elephantidae
Rfam family: tRNA
About the family: Transfer RNA (tRNA) molecules are approximately 80 nucleotides in length. Their secondary structure includes four short double-helical elements and three loops (D, anti-codon, and T loops).
Source: Rfam by way of RNAcentral
GCUCUGGUGGCACAACAGUUAAGUGCUCGGCUGCAAACUGAAAGGUCAGUGGUUCAAAUCCACCCAGCGCC